GAAUAUUGGACAAUGGGCGAAAGCCUGAUCCAGCCAUGCCGCGUGUGUGAAGAAGGUCUUCGGAUUGUAAAUCACUUUAAGAUUUGAGGAAGGGCAGCAAUCGAAUACCUUGCUGUUUUGACGUUACCGACAGCAUAAGCUUCGGCUAUGCUUGUGCCAGCAGCCGCGGUAAUACAGAGGGUGCAAGCGUUAAUCGGAAUUACUGGGCGUAAAGCGCGCGUAGGUGGUUCGUUAAGUUGGAUGUGAAAUCCCCGGGCUCAACCUGGGAACUGCAUCCAAAACUGGCGAGCUAGAGUAGGGCAGAGGGUGGUGGAAUUUCCUGUGUAGCGGUGAAAUGCGUAGAUAUAGGAAGGAACACCAGUGGCGAAGGCGACCACCUGGGCUCAUACUGACACUGAGGUGCGAAAGCGUGGGGAGCAAACAG
This 424-nucleotide ribosomal RNA is filed under the name uncultured bacterium. RNAcentral describes it as "partial 16S ribosomal RNA". It matches the Rfam family "Bacterial small subunit ribosomal RNA", at positions 359 to 775 of the family's 1533-position model. The record is from RNAcentral.